GCCACUAUGGCUCAGUUGGUAGAGCAACGCAUUCGUAAUGCGUGGGUCGCCGGUUCGAGUCCGGCUAGUGGCU
This is a non-coding RNA of Lachnospiraceae bacterium, 73 nucleotides long. The record is from Rfam. Lineage: Bacteria; Bacillati; Bacillota; Clostridia; Lachnospirales; Lachnospiraceae.